AUGGAUGACAUUGCUUGCAACUCGCACCCUAGAGCCUUUUCUUUUGAGGAUAUAUCUGUCCAAGCCAUGCUGACGACAACAUCUGUGGAUGACGUUUUCAAUCUUCCUCUGUCCUUCCAAGCGAGACAGGAAGUGCUUGAUCUUCAGCAAGUGUCUGCUCCUAUUGAUCCUGGGAAUGGUGGCUGUGAUGUUUGGCAGUGCGUAUGGGCCAGAGACUACACCUCCAGCUGCUACUAUUCUUUCUGUUUCAGGGAAGCUCAGGCAGAUGAGGUGUUCAAAUGGAUUUGGAAAUCUGGUGGACAGAUUGAACACGAGGAAUACGCUGAAACGGAGAAAUUAUGCCAUAGCCGAUGA
RNAcentral lists this ribosomal RNA (354 nucleotides) under Triticum aestivum (bread wheat). RNAcentral describes it as "partial small subunit ribosomal RNA". Lineage: Eukaryota; Viridiplantae; Streptophyta; Magnoliopsida; Poales; Poaceae. The record is from RNAcentral.